RNAcentral lists this ribosomal RNA (215 nucleotides) under uncultured bacterium. Its description in RNAcentral is "partial 16S ribosomal RNA". It matches the Rfam family "Bacterial small subunit ribosomal RNA", at positions 1286 to 1500 of the family's 1533-position model. The record is from RNAcentral.
UCCCAGUUCGGAUUGUAGUCUGCAACCCGGCUACAUGAAGCUGGAAUCGCUAGUAAUCGCGGAUCAGAAUGCCGCGGUGAAUACGUUCCCGGGUCUUGUACACACCGCCCGUCACACCAUGGGAGUCGGAAAUGCCCGAAGUCUGUGACCCAACCUCAGGGAGGGAGCAGCCGAAGGCAGGUCGGAUGACUGGGGUGAAGUCGUAACAAGGUAUC